Molecule: ribosomal RNA, 511 nt
Filed under: uncultured bacterium
Lineage: Bacteria
Description: partial 16S ribosomal RNA
Rfam family: Bacterial small subunit ribosomal RNA
Source: RNAcentral
GACGAACGCUGGCGGCGUGCCUAAUACAUGCAAGUAGAACGUUGAAGGAGGAGCUUACUUCUCUGGAUGAGUUGCGAACGGGUGAGUAACGCGUAGGUAACCUGCCUGGUAGCGGGGGAUAACUAUUGGAAACGAUAGCUAAUACCGCAUAAGAGUAGAUGUUGCAUGACAUUUACUUAAAAGGUGCAAUUGCACCACUACCAGAUGGACCUGCGUUGUAUUAGCUAGUUGGUGGGGUAACGGCUUACCAAGGCGACGAUACAUAGCCGACCUGAGAGGGUGAUCGGCCACACUGGGACUGAGACACGGCCCAGACUCCUACGGGAGGCAGCAGUAGGGAAUCUUCGGCAAGGGACGGAAGUCUGACCGAGCAACGCCGCGUGAGUGAAGAAGGUUUUCGGAUCGUAAAGCUCUGUUGUAGGAGAAGAACGAGUGUGAGAGUGGAAAGUUCACACUGUGACGGUAUCUUACCAGAAAGGGACGGCUAACUACGUGCCAGCCGCCGCCGUAA